RNAcentral lists this long non-coding RNA (332 nucleotides) under Daucus carota (carrot). RNAcentral's name for it is "long non-coding RNA (DCAR_LNC006957)". The record is from RNAcentral. Lineage: Eukaryota; Viridiplantae; Streptophyta; Magnoliopsida; Apiales; Apiaceae.
AAGAAUUAAAAAUACUCCUCCACAGGAACACUCAUAACAGAAUUCUUCAAGCACCAGAUCUGACUAGAAAUUUCGAAAACACAAAGACAAUGCCACUUCCGCACACAACUAAUCUACAAAUAAAAGCAAUCUACACUAGAUCCCCACAUAAGCCAGCCGCACCAGUCAGCAAAGAGCCAACAAAAUAACAACUUCCUUCUUCAAAAACUAUAGCAAAACAACCAGCAUACCAGAACUAUUAGAGACCAAUAAUCCAAGCCACCAAGUAUAUAUUAAAAACAGAAUAACCCCAACAAAAUAAUUUACCAACUUGUGGCAAAGAAACCAGGCAA